GAUGAACGCUGGCGGAAUGCUUAACACAUGCAAGUCUUUCGCUAAGCUGUGCUUGCGCGUCCUAGCCAAGGCGGACGGGGGAGUAACGCGGAAUGAACUUGCCCUGCAGUCAGGGAUAACAUACGGAAACGACUGAUAAGACCGGGUAAAGUCAGUCGGACUCAGUUCCAGCCUGAUGGAAAGAGAUGCUGCAGGUGCGCCUUGCGUCCUAUUACCUUGUUGGUGGGGUAACGGCCCACCAAGGCGAUGAUAGUUAGCCGGCCUGAGAGGGUGGACGGCCAUAAGGGGAAUGAGAGACGCAGAUUCCUACUACGGGCGGCAGCAGUGGAUAAUACUGGAUGAGGGCGACCACCAUGAUGCAGCACUUCGGUGUGGAUGAUGAAGGUUUUCGGAUUGACAAGUGCUUUCAGGAGCGAAGAUAAAAAUGACGGUACCUGCAGAAGAAGCGACGGCUAACUACGUG
RNAcentral lists this ribosomal RNA (463 nucleotides) under uncultured bacterium. Its description in RNAcentral is "partial 16S ribosomal RNA". It matches the Rfam family "Bacterial small subunit ribosomal RNA", at positions 28 to 507 of the family's 1533-position model. The record is from RNAcentral.